This 519-nucleotide ribosomal RNA is filed under the name Bacillus sp. UST050418-471. RNAcentral describes it as "bacterial SSU rRNA". It matches the Rfam family "Bacterial small subunit ribosomal RNA", at positions 416 to 931 of the family's 1533-position model. The record is from RNAcentral. Lineage: Bacteria; Bacillati; Bacillota; Bacilli; Caryophanales; Bacillaceae.
CUUCGGGUCGUAAGCUCUGUUGUUAGGGAAGAACAAGUACGUUCGAAUAGGGCGGUACCUUGACGGUACCUAACCAGAAAGCCACGGCUAACUACGUGCCAGCAGCCGCGGUAAUACGUAGGUGGCAAGCGUUGUCCGGAAUUAUUGGGCGUAAAGCGCGCGCAGGCGGUCUUUUAAGUCUGAUGUGAAAGCCCACGGCUCAACCGUGGAGGGUCAUUGGAAACUGGAGGACUUGAGUGCAGAAGAGGAGAGUGGAAUUCCACGUGUAGCGGUGAAAUGCGUAAUUGUGGAGGAACACCAGUGGCGAAGGCGGCUCUCUGGUCUGUAACUGACGCUGAGGCGCGAAAGCGUGGGGAGCAAACAGGAUUAGAUACCCUGGUAGUCCACGCCGUAAACGAUGAGUGCUAGGUGUUGGGGGGUUCCACCCUCAGUGCUGAAGUUAACACAUUAAGCACUCCGCCUGGGGAGUACGAACGCAAGGUUGAAACUCAAAGGAAUUGACGGGGGCCCGCACAAGCA